GUUGUUGCUAAUCUUAUAUACUUCUGUAAGCAUAUGGCAACCAUAUUCAUAAUGCAAUAUAUGGUCAGUCCCUAGUAAGGCAGUGUGGGUUUAGAAGGGUGGACUGUGGAGUGGGUGGAUCAUCUGUAUCUAGCAAUUGAGGACGGCUGUUUGACAUGCCUGUUAUAACCUGAUUCGGGAAUUAAAGAAUCCUUUUGUUUUCUGUAAUUAAAUUUUGGCUAAAAUUCUUUCUUGAUAAUGUAUUUAUCGAAGAUGUGCAAGAGAAAUUUUAUGAAAUUUGCUUUUGAGUCUCACUAUGAACAAUGCUUCAUGUUACAAGCCUCCAGUGUAAAGAGCCUGUGGCUGCUGAAAUAGAUAAUUUCAGAGCAUGUCAUAAAUUUCCUGUCAACUUCAUAUGGCAUUCUACGGUGUUCAUUAUUAUGUGGUAGCAGCAACAAAAAUCACUGUUGAAUCCAUAUUUUUGGGAGGGUGGAUUAUUAGUGGAGAUUGGAUGUUUGAAUACAGGAAUGUAAAUUUAACUGGGCUGUCUAAUAUAGUUAAAACUAGUUUUAGUGCUGACCUAUCUAGGACAAUCAUUAGCAAGCCCCAUUGAACACCAAAAUAGCAUUGAAUUUAUAUAUGCUCUAUUUUUCCCCCGUGAAAGCUGGAGCCUGGAAUAUUAUUGAAUUUUUAAUAUUUUUAACAAUGUGAUGCCUGUGUGAUGAAUCUUGUGCACAUCUUUCACAUUUUACCUUUAUUGUUGGAUAUAGGAAAUGCAAUUCAAUGGUCUGUAAAGAUUAUUGUCCAAUAAAAUUUAUAGCAGCCUCUCUGGUGUGUGACACAUUUUAGAUCUUGGGUGCAGAACG
Molecule: unclassified non-coding RNA, 845 nt
Filed under: Hevea brasiliensis (rubber tree)
Lineage: Eukaryota; Viridiplantae; Streptophyta; Magnoliopsida; Malpighiales; Euphorbiaceae
Source: RNAcentral